This 72-nucleotide transfer RNA is filed under the name Candidatus Woesearchaeota archaeon. RNAcentral describes it as "tRNA-Thr". It matches the Rfam family "tRNA". Rfam says of the family: Transfer RNA (tRNA) molecules are approximately 80 nucleotides in length. Their secondary structure includes four short double-helical elements and three loops (D, anti-codon, and T loops). Further hydrogen bonds mediate the characteristic L-shaped molecular structure. tRNAs have two regions of fundamental functional importance: the anti-codon, which is responsible for specific mRNA codon recognition, and the 3' end, to which the tRNAs corresponding amino acid is attached (by aminoacyl-tRNA synthetases). tRNAs cope with the degeneracy of the genetic code in two manners: having more than one tRNA (with a specific anti-codon) for a particular amino acid; and 'wobble' base-pairing, i.e. permitting non-standard base-pairing at the 3rd anti-codon position. Lineage: Archaea; Nanobdellati; Candidatus Woesearchaeota. The record is from RNAcentral.
GCCCCUGUAGCUCAGUGGUGGAGCGGUUGCCUCGUAAGCAACAGGUCGUGAGUUCGAUUCUCAUCAGGGGCU